RNAcentral lists this ribosomal RNA (524 nucleotides) under uncultured bacterium. RNAcentral describes it as "partial 16S ribosomal RNA". It matches the Rfam family "Bacterial small subunit ribosomal RNA", at positions 28 to 523 of the family's 1533-position model. The record is from RNAcentral.
GACGAACGCUGGCGGCGUGCCUAAUACAUGCAAGUCGAACGCUUCUUUCCUCCCGAGUGCUUGCACUCAAUUGGAAAGAGGAGUGGCGGACGGGUGAGUAACACGUGGGUAACCUACCCAUCAGAGGGGGAUAACACUUGGAAACAGGUGCUAAUACCACAUAACAGUUUAUGCCGCAUGGCAUAAGAAUGAAAGGCGCUUUCGGGUGUCGCUGAUGGAUGGACCCGCGGUGCAUUAGCUAGUUGGGGAGGUAACGGCUCAACAAGGCCACGAUGCAUAGCCGACCUGAGAGGGGGAUCGGCCACACUGGGACUGAGACACGGCCCAGACUCCUACGGGAGGCAGCAGUAGGGAAUCUUCGGCAAUGGACGGAAGUCUGACCGAGCAACGCCGCGUGAGUGAAGAAGGUUUUCGGAUCGUAAAACUCUGUUGUUAGAGAAGAACAAGGACGUUAGUAACUGAACGUCCCCUGACGGUAUCUAACCAGAAAGCCACGGCUAACUACGUGCCAGCAGCCGCGGUAA